AGUGGCGGACGGGUGAGUAAUGCAUAGGAAUCUGCCUUUUAGUGGGGGAUAACGUGGGGAAACUCACGCUAAUACCGCAUACGUCCUACGGGAGAAAGCGGGGGCUCUUCGGACCUCGCGCUAUAAGAUGAGCCUAUGUUGGAUUAGCUAGUUGGUGGGGUAAAGGCCUACCAAGGCGACGAUCCAUAGCUGGUCUGAGAGGAUGAUCAGCCACACUGGGACUGAGACACGGCCCAGACUCCUACGGGAGGCAGCAGUGGGGAAUAUUGGACAAUGGGCGAAAGCCUGAUCCAGCAAUACCGCGUGUGUGAAGAAGGCCUGAGGGUUGUAAAGCACUUUCAAUGGGAAGGAAUACCUACCGGCUAAUACCCUGUAGACUGACAUUACCCAUACAAGAAGCACCGGCUAACUCCGUGCCAGCAGCCGCGGUAAUACGGAGGGUGCGAGCGUUAAUCGGAAUUACUGGGCGUAAAGCGUGCGUAGGCGGUUCGUUAAGUCAGAUGUGAAAGCCCUGGGCUCAACCUGGGAACUGCAUUUGAUACUGGCGGACUAGAGUUGAGUAGAGGAGAGUGGAAUUUCAGGUGUAGCGGUGAAAUGCGUAGAGAUCUGAAGGAACACCAGUGGCGAAGGCGGCUCUCUGGACUCAAACUGACGCUGAGGUACGAAAGCGUGGUAGCAAACAGGAUUAGAUACCCUGGUAGUCCACGCCGUAAACGAUGUCAACUAACCGUUGGGUUCUUAAAGAACUUAGUGGUGGAGCUAACGUAUUAAGUUGACCGCCUGGGGAGUACGGCCGCAAGGCUAAAACUCAAUGAAUUGACGGGGGCCCGCACAAGCGGUGGAGCAUGUGGUUUAAUUCGAUGCAACGCGAGAACCUUACCUACCCUUGACAU
Molecule: ribosomal RNA, 893 nt
Filed under: uncultured Gammaproteobacteria bacterium
Lineage: Bacteria; Pseudomonadati; Pseudomonadota; Gammaproteobacteria
Description: bacterial SSU rRNA
Rfam family: Bacterial small subunit ribosomal RNA
Source: RNAcentral